RNAcentral lists this long non-coding RNA (539 nucleotides) under Sinocyclocheilus anshuiensis. RNAcentral describes it as "lncRNA (ENSSANG00000031676.1)". Lineage: Eukaryota; Metazoa; Chordata; Actinopteri; Cypriniformes; Cyprinidae. The record is from RNAcentral.
GAGCGCACGGAGCAGGCACACAUACACUCACUCCAACGCCAUAGAACCAUGUCAGACUCAGAGACUGCAGCUCCAGCCGAAACCCCUGUCCCAGCACCCUGUGUGGCCAUCAAGGCAGAUUUAGACAAAUGUGUAAAGGAGAAUGGUGAGGAAGCGUGUAAGGAGCUAAUGGAGGCGUUUGCCGCCUGUGUGAAGAGCAAUGCUGAGGCGUCAUGAGGAGCUCAACAUGCAGGAAAAGGGUUUACUGCACUGAGUCCUCCACCUUCCCAGCAUUCCCUGCAGCUCGUGGCACUGGACUAAAUGAUGGGGUUUGGGGCAGCAGAGACCAUAUUUGUGUCUCUUCCCUUCUCUACACCCUCCCUGUGAACCUCAAAUGGAUUUCUCCAACCACCAACCUCCCCCUCCCCUUUUGUAUUGAUCUGAUCUGUAGACAGUUUGAGAGUUGAUGUAAAUGAUGUGUCUCAGAUGCUUUCAAAAUGGAAUAAAGAUUUUAAAAAUGGUUCAAUAUUUGUAACUAACUGAAUUUGUUUCACAAUGUU